Molecule: ribosomal RNA, 253 nt
Filed under: uncultured bacterium
Lineage: Bacteria
Description: partial 16S ribosomal RNA
Rfam family: Bacterial small subunit ribosomal RNA
Source: RNAcentral
UACAGAGGCCCCGAGCGUUGUUCGGAUUUAUUGGGCGUAAAGGGUGCGUAGGCGGCGGAGUAAGUUGGGUGUGAAAUCCCGGGGCUCAACCUCGGAAUGGCAUUCAAUACUGCUUCGCUAGAGUACUGGAGAGGAGGCUGGAAUUUACGGUGUAGCAGUGAAAUGCGUAGAUAUCGUAAGGAAGGCCGGUGGCGAAAGCGAGCCUCUGGACAGUUACUGACGCUGAUGCACGAAGGCCAGGGGAGCAAACGGG